This 91-nucleotide non-coding RNA is filed under the name pig gut metagenome. The record is from RNAcentral.
ACGACAAGGGGAGCUUGCAAAAGCAGGCUGAGAGUAGGCUGUACUGCCUUGACCCAUAACCUGAUUUGGAUAAUGCCAACGUAGGGAUAAA